CAGGGAGACAACAAAAUGUUUAAUAUUAUUAUUUUGUCACCUUAGGUCGAUCGGUAUCUCACGUUUUUAAUUUAUUAAGAAUUUCAUUUCCUAAGUUUUUCUAGGUCACACCCAUUAUUUUUCCUGGGCCAUUAGCUCAGGUGGUUAGAGCGCACCCCUGAUAAGGGUGAGGUCCCUGGUUCAAGUCCAGGAUGGCCCAUAUCUCUAUGUUGGGGGUAUAGCUCAGUUGGUAGAGCGCCUGCUUUGCAAGCAGGAUGUCAGCGGUUCGAGUCCGCUUACCUCCACUGAUCACCACCUCUUCCAUAAUCGGUAGAAAGGAAAUUUUUUGAGUUGUGAUCAAAUUCUGAAAGAAUCUAGCUUCCUAAUGAAAUCAUUAAGAUGCUGGACUCAUUGAAUUAAUUUCAUUGUUUUCAGAGAACCUUGACAACUGCAUAGAUUAUUUUUAAAGACAAUAAGCAUCUUUAAUGAUGCAGAUUUAUUAUUUGUGCAAAUGCAUUAAUAACAAUUCUAUUAAGCUGAUGCUUCAAAAUUUGAAGUUAUU
RNAcentral lists this transfer RNA (541 nucleotides) under uncultured Prochlorococcus sp. Its description in RNAcentral is "partial 16S-23S ribosomal RNA intergenic spacer". The stretch from base 212 to 284 matches the Rfam family "tRNA". The record is from RNAcentral. Lineage: Bacteria; Bacillati; Cyanobacteriota; Cyanophyceae; Synechococcales; Prochlorococcaceae.